This is a long non-coding RNA of Pan troglodytes (chimpanzee), 1347 nucleotides long. RefSeq lists it as uncharacterized. The transcript is spliced from 4 exons. The record is from RefSeq and is a predicted model, not a curated record. NCBI's taxonomy places the organism in Eukaryota, Metazoa, Chordata, Mammalia, Primates, Hominidae.
AGAACUCCAUGUUCUAAUAGCCCCAGCAAAGUUGUUUUUAAUACUUUUUCUCUACGAAUUUUCAUUAAAAUUUAAUUCCAUUUUAACUUUGUCAAUUUUCCCCAAAGAUAAAUUAAGACACACAGAGAGAUUGUCAUUUCCUGUUUGAAGUCUCAUUCCUGUGUACAAUGGCAGUCUUUUUUAUUUAGGCCUAUGCCAUUCCAUCAGGGUAAAUAACUUUCUAACUAGUCAUUAAGAGCAACUCCUGGGAAACUGUGAUGCAAUCCCACAUAUCAGCCAGACUUCAAAAGCUACCAGAUUAUUGUGAAAGGAGAAACACUGUUUUUGAAGGCUGCUGAUAAUGCCUAUUAGCCAGAAGAAAGAGCCUGAAUCAUUCAAAGGUUUUCCAUCUAGUAAAGAAGUGUGGUAAAAAUCUUGCCCAGAUCUGCAUGUGCUAAGCAUCUACGUAAGUUGGAGCAUCAUAUUAAUGACACCCAGUGAAGAAACGAAAGAAUGAAGUGUAAUUACUAUAUCAAAAAUCCACAGAAUGUGAAAGUAUAAAGGAAAACUCUCAGCUGCUCAGCUAAAAACUUUGGAGUUAGACAUAUGGACAGCCCACCCCAAGGGAAGAAUCAGAGGAGAAGGGACACAAGACCCCAGAAACACACAAAGCACCUUAAUAUGCAUGCUGCAUCUCUCUAAAAUUGUGGAACCUGUUUACCUGCUCUGGAGAAUGGCUGCCUGUGGCAGACGUAGGAGUUGUCCUCAUGCUGUGCUUCCUAUCUUCCACAGUAAUUGACUUGUAGCUGCAAUGCAGUUACCAACCAGGAAUACAAUUUCUCAGCCCCAUGUCUUGCACCUACAGCUAAGUGUGGCCAUGUGACCAGUUUUCACCAAUUAAGUGUAAAUAGCAACAAAGUGCACCACCUUCAAUUGGAGGCUUUGAAGAAGCAGGGCAGCCUUCCCUUGCUCUCUUUCCCCUUGUUCUGGUGGGAUACAGAUGAAAAUAAGGCCCUGGGUUUUGAGGUAGCCACAAGAUGCAAAAUACCUCAGACCUGAGUCACCACAAGGAAGAGAGAAGCCCACUGACAUGGAAUACCCAGCCUAGUCUACAGAUGAAUAAGAAAUAAACUUCUAUUAUGUUCGAACAUUACAGAUUUUGUUCUGUUAUAGCAGUUUAUCUCACCCUGACUAAACUGUUGCCUAUCUUCCAAGAUAGGCCCUCCUUCCCUGAAAGUGACUUUUUCAUACAUGUAAUCUGUAUUUUAAUUCAUAUUCUCCAAAGCAUAUCCACAUCUAUUCAACUAUUUUCAUGUCUUCCAUGAACAAAAACCUCAUAUAAAUAAAUAUAUAUGAAGUUUUUUUUUU